UACGAAGGGGGCAAGCGUUGUUCGGAAUAACUGGGCGUAAAGGGCGUGUAGGUGGUUAUAUAAGUUUGGUGUUAAAUCGUGGGGCUCAACCCCAAAGCUGCACUAAAUACUGUAUAACUAGAGUUUAAGAGGGGUGCUUGGAAUUGCUUGUGUAGAGGUGAAAUUCGUAGAUAUAAGCAAGAACACUCGUGGCGAAGGCAGGGCACUGGCUUAAAACUGACACUGAGACGCGAAAGCGUGGGGAGCAAACAGG
RNAcentral lists this ribosomal RNA (253 nucleotides) under uncultured bacterium. Its description in RNAcentral is "partial 16S ribosomal RNA". It matches the Rfam family "Bacterial small subunit ribosomal RNA", at positions 524 to 776 of the family's 1533-position model. The record is from RNAcentral.